AGCGAACGCUGGCGGCAUGCUUAACACAUGCAAGUCGCACGGCCGGGGUAACGUCGCAGUGGCGGACGGGUGAGUAACGCGUAGGUAUCUAUCCUUGGGUGGGGGACGAACCGUAGGGAAACGUAACGGCUAAUACCGCAUGACGACUGAGGUCCAAAAGCAGCAAUGCGCCUGAGGAGGAGCCUGCGUACGAUUAGCUUGUUGGUGGGGUAAAGGCCUACCAAGGCUCCGAUCGUUAGCNGGUC
This 245-nucleotide ribosomal RNA is filed under the name uncultured bacterium. RNAcentral's name for it is "partial 16S ribosomal RNA". It matches the Rfam family "Bacterial small subunit ribosomal RNA", at positions 29 to 292 of the family's 1533-position model. The record is from RNAcentral.